ACAAUGAUUUCCUAAACAAUAUGUCUAUAUAUUUAAUGACAAAGAUUUUCCCUUUUUAGCCUCUCAUUUUACAGGUAUUUGCUGAAGUAAGAUUAGGAGUUUUAUGCAAAUUCAACAGGUUGAUUUCCAAUCCCAUCAUCUAAAGAACAACCAAUUUUAUUAUUGAUAUUAAUACAGUGAAAAUGUGAAGACAGUGGAAGCAAAGCACACUUGAGCAUAUACCUGAUCUUAGGAUGGAGCACGCUUCUCUGGUCUAUUAACACAGCUCCAGGUGAGUUGAGGUCAUUGUUCACCUGUGUUAUCAGAUGGGAAAACUGAAGAGGUUCCUUUAAGAGAGUUAAAAUGGCAGACACUCCACUUCCAGUCCAUGCUGAUGACGGUGGGUUAUAUACUGAGACUCCCUCUUCCACGUCUAAUGUACUGGUACAAGAAGGGGCCUGUCAUGGUAACAGCCCGUAAACACUGCAAUGCCUAAUGAAAUCAACAGAUCUUGGAAACCUGCUUUAGAGUUUUUAGAGAAAUCAUUAAAACUUUUAAAGUA
Non-coding RNA from Ictidomys tridecemlineatus (thirteen-lined ground squirrel), 541 nucleotides. Lineage: Eukaryota; Metazoa; Chordata; Mammalia; Rodentia; Sciuridae. The record is from RefSeq and is a predicted model, not a curated record.